Long non-coding RNA from Ahaetulla prasina, 1344 nucleotides. RefSeq lists it as uncharacterized. The transcript is spliced from 4 exons. The record is from RefSeq and is a predicted model, not a curated record. NCBI's taxonomy places the organism in Eukaryota, Metazoa, Chordata, Lepidosauria, Squamata, Colubridae.
GUCAUCUGGACGUAUUCUUUCACCAGGGCGUUGAGUAACCGCCGAGCUUCGUAGUCCCCCAGGGCGCCUCGGUCGGUGACGGGCUCGAAGCCCGCUCUGCGUGAAGACAAGCGCGCCCUUGAAAGCGCCGCUUUUCUGGGAGCAGCGCUUCUCCUCCCCACAGGCAGCCUGGGGUGGGAUCAGGGGCGGGAGGGAGCGGCUUUUCCAGCCGGAGCCCGCCAGCCAUCCCACCCCCUACCCUGGGGUUGGCGUGGAGCGCGACUCUCCUCUCUCCCAACCAAGGCUGGGGAUGGGGGGGGGAGUUUUAUGAAUACUGGUGCCCGCUGUAUCUGGAAGGCUUCCGAAGGGGGAGACUGUGCGAGUGAUCCGUUUUGCUUGGCCAGGGGAAGAAAAUCACAAGGCGGCCACGGAUAUGCUUGCGUAAUUUCUACUCCGCUUUCUACUUUCGGUCUCACUGCCCCGGAGGCGAGGCAAGUGGCGAUCGAGCUCCGAUGUUUUUGAAAUUUAAAAAAAAAACAAAAAACGAAGGAGGGGGCUCUAAAAACUGGUUGGUCAUCCGGGGCGAAGGGUCCCCACGGAGCCAAAUCCGCGCCUGCCGAGCGCCCAGACCUUUCUCCUUUUGCCCCCUCCUAACCGAGCUCCAUCCCGUCCAAGGAGGACUUUCUUCGCUUCGCGCGCCCCCGCCCCGGAGGGAACUUCGAGACUCUCCUCCCGAAAGCUGCAGAAAGGCUCAGUUUCAUCGAGGAGCCUCAUUGCAGCCUCUGCGGUCCUGCCUAUUCCCCUCUGACUUAUUUGGGCUGCGAUCCCAUCGACGAGCAUCCCAACUGACGCGCAUAAGGAUUCCCUUCUGAAGGAGAAAACAUAUAUGGCUGGCUGGGGAAUUCUGGGGGCUUCGGCAGCGUUCUUAUACGGACUAUCGGAACUGGGCAGAAGCAACUCGGAACAUCGGUGCCAAGAGAAGAGAACCAAAAAUAGAACCUUUCUUAAAAGAAAACGAGUCAAAGUGGCGAGAUGUAUUUACGCUUAGAAGAGAGACGCCUCGUUUUUAUGCCUCGUUUUUUGAAGUAAAAAAAUAAAAAGAACAGCUAAAACAAGUGGACCUCUGAAAACGCGAAAGGAUUAAUUACGCCAUCUAUUCCAAAAACCAGACAAGAAGUCUAGCAUCCUUGAAACAUAAAACUGAGGAAUGCAGGACAUUGGCAGCUUUUAGGCUGCGACACUCUCUACGGAUCUGGGAGUAAAUCAUCCUGGACUCAGUAAGACAUUAAAGAAAGUGUGGCCAGGAUUUCUGCUGCUAGAGUUGUAUGGUUGCUGUGAGGAGCAGAGCUACCGGUAGUAGAGAAG